CAGAAUCUAUAACAACAAAACUGGUACAUUCGUCUCAUCUACUUUUAACAAUACAAAUGCAUACCUAGCAUAUAAACAAACUAGUCACAAUUAGCAAAAACAUACGCAUGUUCGAUACCUAGUUCCACAACAUACACGAGCAGAUCGUGAAGAAAACAAUAAAUGAUGAUUACACAGAAGGGGCUAGGGGUUGCAUAUGAACUUUCAAGGAUGAAUUACUCUGAAUUAGCAACAUUUCUCUAUCUUCGAGCUCAGGUAAAAGACGACAAAUAUAGGAGGUGGAAAGCCCUCACCGAACAACUGUAUAGCUCUAUCCAGCUCACCACUAUUGUAAAAGCUCAUUAACUUUUGUUCUAACUAGAGCUAGGCCAUAAGGAGCUGAGUCUCGCUGCAAUUUUUGCACUCUUGUAGUCCUCCCGAAGCUGAAUGAACCUCUGUGCAUCUUUCCUAAUGCUCGGGGUUCCCUCAAAGAGUGUUGAUAGACUUUCAGGUGCAACAAUAAACACGUUUGCCAUGAUGCCCAACUGUUCAAAUUUCUCAUCAACUGAAGGUGCAUUGAAACUACGAACAAACUCCCCAUACUCUGUUAUAUCACGCUUCAAACGCAAUCCUCCACUUGCAUUGAAGGUGAACUUUUGCCAAUGAUUAAGCAAGCCUUUGUGUAAACGAUUCCCCAAUUCAGUCAAAAAGGCUUGUUUGUUAAGCCCUUCCAGCGCUGUGAAUGCCGAUUCAAGCACCCUUGAAAGGUAUGCGACAACUUUUGAACAAGCUUGUGUUGGCCGAUGGUCUGGGACAAUGCUGUCAUCAGGUGAUCGAUAAUCUGCGACUUUUUGUUCAGUUGACAGUACACGUUCCACCUCUGCCAUAACAGUUUCAAUACACUGCUGAAGCCCCUUAUAAGCAGCACCCUCUGCACUUGACAUAGCUGUAGCCAUUUCUUCACAAGAAGCAGCAUGCGCACCAUCCACAGGCAGUAAAAGUCGAGAUAUAGAGUUUGCAAAAUAUUGCUGCACAAUAGCCACACUG
Molecule: unclassified non-coding RNA, 1026 nt
Filed under: Hevea brasiliensis (rubber tree)
Lineage: Eukaryota; Viridiplantae; Streptophyta; Magnoliopsida; Malpighiales; Euphorbiaceae
Source: RNAcentral